Molecule: ribosomal RNA, 23 nt
Filed under: Macrohilum eucalypti
Lineage: Eukaryota; Fungi; Ascomycota; Sordariomycetes; Diaporthales
Description: partial 28S ribosomal RNA
Source: RNAcentral
GUUGACCUCGGAUCAGGUAGGUA